UACGGAGGGUGCAAGCGUUAUCCGGAUUCACUGGGUUUAAAGGGUGCGUAGGUGGGUCUGUAAGUCCGUGGUGAAAUCUCCGAGCUUAACUCGGAAACUGCCAUGGAUACUAUAGAUCUUGAAUACCGUGGAGGAUAGCGGAAUAUGUCAUGUAGCGGUGAAAUGCUUAGAUAUGACAUAGAACACCAAUUGCGAAGGCAGCUGACUACGCGAGUAUUGACACUGAGGCACGAAAGCGUGGGGAUCAAACAGG
This 253-nucleotide ribosomal RNA is filed under the name uncultured bacterium. Its description in RNAcentral is "partial 16S ribosomal RNA". It matches the Rfam family "Bacterial small subunit ribosomal RNA", at positions 524 to 776 of the family's 1533-position model. The record is from RNAcentral.